UACGGACGGUGCAAGCGUUAUCCAGAUUUACUGGGGUUAAAGGGCGCGUAGGCGGGCAGGUAAGUCAGUGGUGAAAUCUUCGAGCUUAACUCGGAAACUGCCAUUGAUACUAUCUAUCUUGAAUAUUGUGGAGGUAAGCGGAAUAUGUCAUGUAGCGGUGAAAUGCUUAGAGAUGACAUAGAACACCUAUUGCGAAGGCAGCUUACUACGCAUAUAUUGACGCUGAGGCUCGAAAGCGUGGGGAUCAAACAGG
Molecule: ribosomal RNA, 253 nt
Filed under: uncultured bacterium
Lineage: Bacteria
Description: partial 16S ribosomal RNA
Rfam family: Bacterial small subunit ribosomal RNA
Source: RNAcentral